This 1577-nucleotide long non-coding RNA is filed under the name Mus musculus (house mouse). RNAcentral's name for it is "RIKEN cDNA F730311O21 gene". The record is from RNAcentral. Lineage: Eukaryota; Metazoa; Chordata; Mammalia; Rodentia; Muridae.
AGCAAGUAAGUAUAGCCGGGGCAGCAGGAGUUCAGGCCUUGGGAGAAAAAUCUUAAGAUAUGUAUUUGGGGGUAGAAAUGACCCCCCAAAGGGAAAGAAAGGUGGCCUCAGGAUACUCAGCAGAGCAGGGGCUGAUUGCAUACUGGGUGUGGUGCUGAACCCCGGGAGUCCUGAACUAAACAGAAUAUACACUGCCCUUCAAAGCCUGGAGGUCCAGGGGAGGAGAGUUAUGAGAGUGGUGACUACCCCAACUUCCUAGGAAGUUUCCUCUUGAUACUGCUGCAGUUUCAUGGUACAGGGGCUUCAAGUGUCAUCAGACAUCAGGGCCACUGCACGCCAUGACGCACGGUAACGUUUGGAUGAAAACAUUUGGUACAGAUAUUCAGAUGAAAGAUCCAAAAAGUCACUGCCAAUUAAUUCUUUAACUGGCAGAGAAAAUGGACACUAUGGAGACCCUUAGACCGUAUCAGGAAUGUCGGACUCAUCUGGCCACAGAGGUUUGAGGUGGUAGACAUUGUGAAGCCACAGAAUACAACUGGAGGCAAAGCACAGCUCAUGGUUUCUGGUGUUGGACCAGAAGGAAGGCUGGAUAGCCCAGCCUUGAGAAGGCCCAAGAAAUGGAGGUGAUGAAGUUGAGUUGGAGGCCAAGCUUCCCUCUGACACUCUGCUCAUCUGCCCUCCUGCCGGAUCCCCAAGUCCUUCUCUAAGCAUAUGCGGACAAGAGAGAUCCCCGUCCGAUGACUCCACGUGUGCCAUGGUGGGGACACUGCCAGAUGAGAGGGUCCAGGCAAGCAGAUCUUCUUGUGGAAAACUUGGUGACAGUACCCUUUCUGAGUCAGUUUCCUUAUCUGUACAGUGUAGACGUGGGCCAGAAGCUGUAGAGAGUCUCCGUGUUCUUCAGGCUUAGGCGGGUCAUUGGGUACAGCCAGGUGUAUUUUGGUACCUGGACUAAGGGGACAAGUGGGAUGACUAAGAGAUCUUCCCAGAUGGAAGGCCUGGCAUGGGUGCAUGUGGAAGUAUUCAUGGAGGAGACUUCAGCCGCCCAUCAGUGCUCUGCCCCGCCCCUCAGCGGUUGGUAAGGAACAUGCUCAUUGGCCUCAUUCUGCCUCUGUCUUCAGGGUACAUUUGGGUUUCUGUGUCUGCCAUCUCUUACUCAGAUGUUUUGCACUGCUUUGAUGAACAGAUGGACAAACGGUUCCCUUGGAGACUGAUCUUUCAUCUCUGGCAUGGGACACACGCUUAGUGGCUUAAGGAGCCAGCCUUGGGAAGAAAUAGUGAAACUCAUAGACGCCUGUCUUCACUUUCUGCCUCUUUAAAGAUUUUUGUUUGCUUGCUUGCUUGUUUAAGAGCUGAAGAUGGCUCAUGUGUUAAACGCAUCGCAUCUGAUGCUCUUACAUAAAACCCAGGUUCAGUUCCCAGCACCCAGCAAGUGGCUCACAACCACCUGUGAUCCCAGUUCUGGGGGGAAUCUAGUGCCCCUUCUGGCCUCCUCAGGAACUGCACACAGGAGGUGCAUGUACAGACAUGGUCGGGGAACAUACUCAUACUGAUAAAAUAAAAAUAAUUCUUUUUAAAAA